GACGAACGCUGGCGGCGUGCCUAAUACAUGCAAGUAGAACGCUGAAGAGAGGAGCUUACUCUUCUUGGAUGAGUUGCGAACGGGUGAGUAACGCGUAGGUAACCUGCCUUGUAGCGGGGGAUAACUACUGGAAACGAUAGCUAAUACCGCAUAACAAUGGAUGACACAUGUCAUUUAUUUGAAAGGGGCAAUUGCUCCACUACAAGAUGGACCUGCGUUGUAUUAGCUAGUAGGUGAGGUAAUGGCUCACCUAGGCGACGAUACAUAGCCGACCUGAGAGGGGGAUCGGCCACACUGGGACGGAGACACGGCCCAGACUCCUACGGGAGGCAGCAGUAGGGAAUCUUCGGCAAUGGGGGCAACCCUGACCGAGCAACGCCGCGUGAGUGAAGAAGGUUGUCGGAUCGUAAAGCUCUGUUGUAAGUCAAGAACGGGUGUGAGAGUGGAAAGUUCACACUGUGACGGUAGCUUAACAGAAAGGGACGGCUAACUACGUG
This 497-nucleotide ribosomal RNA is filed under the name uncultured bacterium. RNAcentral describes it as "partial 16S ribosomal RNA". It matches the Rfam family "Bacterial small subunit ribosomal RNA", at positions 28 to 507 of the family's 1533-position model. The record is from RNAcentral.